RNAcentral lists this ribosomal RNA (263 nucleotides) under uncultured bacterium. RNAcentral's name for it is "partial 16S ribosomal RNA". The record is from RNAcentral.
CUGCUGCCUUCCGUAGGAGUUUGGGCCGUGUCUCAGUCCCAAUGUGGCCGUCCACCCUCUCAGGCCGGCUACUGAUCGUCGCCUUGGUGGGCCGUUACCCUGCCAACAAGCUAAUCAGACGCGGGUCCAUCUUACACCACCGGAGUUUUUCACACAAAUCCAUGCGGCUUCGUGCGCUUAUGCGGUAUUAGCACCUAUUUCUAAGUGUUAUCCCCCAGUGUAAGGCAGGUUACCCACGCGUUACUCACCCGUCCGCCACUAAG